RNAcentral lists this ribosomal RNA (301 nucleotides) under uncultured bacterium. RNAcentral describes it as "partial 16S ribosomal RNA". It matches the Rfam family "Bacterial small subunit ribosomal RNA", at positions 509 to 807 of the family's 1533-position model. The record is from RNAcentral.
CAGCCGCCGCGGUAAUACGUAGGGCGCAAGCGUUAUCCGGAAUUAUUGGGCGUAAAGAGCUCGUAGGCGGUUUGUCGCGUCUGCCGUGAAAGUCCGGGGCUCAACCCCGGAUCUGCGGUGGGUACGGGCAGACUAGAGUGAUGUAGGGGAGACUGGAAUUCCUGGUGUAGCGGUGAAAUGCGCAGAUAUCAGGAGGAACACCGAUGGCGAAGGCAGGUCUCUGGGCAUUAACUGACGCUGAGGAGCGAAAGCAUGGGGAGCGAACAGGAUUAGAUACCCGCGUAGUCCCUGUCUCUUAUAC